ACUGUUACUGCCCCCUCUUCUCUCUGUUGCUCUUUCAAGUAAGAUGAAAAUAAAUAAACAAUUGAAAAAUACUAUUUUAAAAGGAUACUAUCAGUAGACUGAAAAGGAAACCUAUGGAAUGGAAGAAAAUACUCAAACCAUGUAUUGGGUGAGGGAUUAUCUUAGCUUGUUUUUUGUCUGUUUGUUUUCUGCCUAAACACAAUACCACUGACUGGGUAAUUUAUAAAGAGCAGAAAUGUAUUUCUCACAGUUGCGUAGGCUUGGAAGUCUAAAAUCAAGGACUCGGGCCGGCGCCGCGGCUCAAUAGGCUAAUCCUCCACCUGCAGCGCCGGCACACUGGGUUCUAGUCCCAGUCGGGGCGCCGGAUUCUGUCCUGGUUGCCCCUCUUCCAGGCCAGCUCUCUGCUAUGGCCCGGGAGUACAGUGGAGGAUGGCCCAAGUCCUUGGGCCCUGCACCCGCAUGGGAGACCAGGAGAAGCACCUGGCUCCUGGCUUCGGAUCAGCGCGGUGCCGGCUGCUGGCUCUCUGUCUCUCUCUCUCUCUCACUGUCCACUCUGUCUGUUACAAAAGUAAAAAAAAAAAAAAAAAUCAAGGACUCGAUGCAGGGUCUGGCAGUUGCCUUUUGGCCCCUUUAUUCCCACAGUGGAGGAUGGGAGGAAUGGCAAGACAGGGAAAAGAAGGGCCAGAAACAGGACAGGGCACCCCUGUCCCGAGGUGUGUACUGGGGGGGGCAGUGAAACAUGGCAGGAACCUGAGGGAGUUGCGCUCACAGUGGCCCCCAGCCUCAGCGACUACUUGUGACCUGGGAGAGGGACCACAUUCACUUCUUUUUUUUUUUUUUUAAGAUUGAUCUAUUUGUUUGUUUGUUUGAGAGAUAGAGCCACAGAAAGAGAGGGAGAGGUCUUCCAUCUGCUGGCUCACCCCUUAAAUGGUUGCAAUGGCCAUAGCUGGAUGGAUUCAAAGCCAGGAACCAGAAGCUUCCUCCAGGUCCCCCAUGGAGGUGCAGGGGCACAAACACUUGGGCCAAUUUCCACUGCCCUCCCAGGCCAUAGCAGAGAGCUGGUUUGGAAGAGGAGUAGCCGGGACACAAACUGGUGCCCACAUGGGAUGCCAGUGCUGCAGUCAGAGGCUUAGCCCACCACGCCACAGUGCCAGCCCCCAUAUUCACUUCUUUUUUUUUUUCACAUUCACUUCUAACCAUCAACAUUAUCAUUGGCCCCAGUCACUGACAGAAAACCUAACCUUGCUUCAACACCAGGAAGGAAGCCUGAUGCCUCCUGCAGCCCUUUAGCCACACCUCCAAAGUUCAGCUCCAUCAGCUCCUUCUCACCCUGGCUGACCAGCACACCUGCUUCCAUCUGCCAUGCCCCCCUCUUGCACUUGGGAGACCAUGCAAAACUUUUGUGGUCACAGCUCACUCAUAACCUUCUCUGCCCUGUGUGGGGGUACUCAACAUGGGUGUUGGACCCUGUGUCCUCACCUGAGUUGAACUUGGACCUAGGCUUCCUUUGAUGUACAGCUGGGACUUAACAUGGAGGGUGGCCCUGAGCUCUUUUUGAUGGGUUAAGGAAGAGGGAAGGAGAGAGGAGGCAAGAAAAGAGAGAUGGCUAUGAGGUUGGAGGGGGAAUGGAAGUAUGCAUAGACUUUGGGGUCAAAUAUUACCAGGAGCCUACCCUGGAUUUAUCCAUUCCCCCAGGACCUGAAGAGAGGAGACCACCCUUGGGUCCUGGGAACAACCACAGAACCUGUGACCCAUGCACAGGGCAUGUGACCAACGAUGCGGAGCGUGACCAGCCACAGGGCAUGUGACCAACCAUGGGAAGUCUGACCAACCACGGGGAGUC
This is a long non-coding RNA of Oryctolagus cuniculus (rabbit), 1843 nucleotides long. Lineage: Eukaryota; Metazoa; Chordata; Mammalia; Lagomorpha; Leporidae. The record is from Ensembl.